GACGGAGGAUGCAAGCGUUAUCCGGAAUGAUUGGGCGUAAAGCGUCCGCAGGUGGCAGUUCAAGUCUGCUGUCAAAGACCGGGGCUUAACUUCGGAAAGGCAGUGGAAACUGAACAGCUAGAGUAUGGUAGGGGCAGAGGGAAUUCCUGGUGUAGAGGUGAAAUUCGUAGAUAUCAGGAGGAACACCGGUGGCGAAGGCGGCUUCCUGGACACUUACUGACGCUGAGACGCGAAAGCGUGGGGAGCAAACAGG
RNAcentral lists this ribosomal RNA (253 nucleotides) under uncultured bacterium. RNAcentral's name for it is "partial 16S ribosomal RNA". It matches the Rfam family "Bacterial small subunit ribosomal RNA", at positions 524 to 776 of the family's 1533-position model. The record is from RNAcentral.